Amblyraja radiata (thorny skate) is the source of this 444-nucleotide long non-coding RNA. RefSeq lists it as uncharacterized. The transcript is spliced from 2 exons. The record is from RefSeq and is a predicted model, not a curated record. NCBI's taxonomy places the organism in Eukaryota, Metazoa, Chordata, Chondrichthyes, Rajiformes, Rajidae.
CCAGUCAUUGCGGCAACUGAUGGAGCGCCACCCUGCAACCGGAGGCUCAACGCGUCUUUACAGUUCAAAGUACUGUGGAACAUUUCGCCUUGCUGAUCAAAGCGUCAGAUGUGGACAUUGUUGGCAAAUUCUCUCACGAUGAAGUACCACCUGAAUGAACAAUUGAAGAGCCAUAAACUGCAGGACAAUGAACCGAGUUUUGAGAAAUGGGAGUAACCUGCAGUGCAUUUUGUCUGCACAGACACAGUGGUUGAAUGGCUUUUUGUCACCAGGUUCUGAGAUACACUCUUCCAACAAACCUCAAGCACGUUGGAAGGACAGCACCUCAUCUUCAAACUGGGCCAUAACAGCCUUUAUGACAUUCAAUGUAUUCAAUUAUUUCAAGCCAUCAGCAUUUCCAUCAUGUGGAUUUCACAUUUCUGGAAUUAAGUUUUUGUCCGAUAA